GAUGAACGCUGGCGGCGUGCCUAAUACAUGCAAGUCGAGCGAACAGACGAGGAGCUUGCUCCUCUGACGUUAGCGGCGGACGGGUGAGUAACACGUGGAUAACCUACCUAUAAGACUGGGAUAACUUCGGGAAACCGGAGCUAAUACCGGAUAAUAUAUUGAACCGCAUGGUUCAAUAGUGAAAGACGGUUUUGCUGUCACUUAUAGAUGGAUCCGCGCCGCAUUAGCUAGUUGGUAAGGUAACGGCUUACCAAGGCAACGAUGCGUAGCCGACCUGAGAGGCUGAUCGGCCACACUGGAACUGAGACACGGUCCAGACUCCUACGGGAGGCAGCAGUAGGGAAUCUUCCGCAAUGGGCGAAAGCCUGACGGAGCAACGCCGCGUGAGGGAUGAAGGUCUUCGGAUCGUAAAACUCUGUUAUUAGGGAAGAACAAAUGUGUAAGUAACUAUGCACGUCUUGACGGUACCUAAUCAGAAAGCCACGGCUAACUACGUG
This 497-nucleotide ribosomal RNA is filed under the name uncultured bacterium. RNAcentral describes it as "partial 16S ribosomal RNA". It matches the Rfam family "Bacterial small subunit ribosomal RNA", at positions 28 to 507 of the family's 1533-position model. The record is from RNAcentral.